Molecule: ribosomal RNA, 500 nt
Filed under: uncultured Glomeromycotina
Lineage: Eukaryota; Fungi; Glomeromycota
Description: partial small subunit ribosomal RNA
Rfam family: Eukaryotic small subunit ribosomal RNA
Source: RNAcentral
CCAAUAGCGUAUAUUAAAGUUGUUGCAGUUAAAAAGCUCGUAGUUGAAUUUCGGGGUUAGUAGGUUGGUCAUGCCACUGGUAUGUACUGGUCUCACUGAUUCCUCCUUCCUGAUGAACCGUAAUGCCAUUAAUUUGGUGUUGCGGGGAAUCUGGACUGUUACUUUGAAAAAAUUAGAGUGUUUAAAGCAAGCUAACGCUUGAAUACAUUAGCAUGGAAUAAUGAAAUAGGACGUUCGAUCCUAUUUUGUUGGUUUCUAGGAUUGACGUAAUGAUUAAUAGGGAUAGUUGGGGGCAUUAGUAUUCAAUUGUCAGAGGUGAAAUUCUUGGAUUUAUUGAAGACUAACUACUGCGAAAGCAUUUGCCAAGGAUGUUUUCAUUAAUCAAGAACGAAAGUUAGGGGAUCGAAGACGAUCAGAUACCGUCGUAGUCUUAACCAUAAACUAUGCCGACUAGGGAUCGGAUGAUGUUAAUUUUUUAAUGACUCAUUCGGCGCCUUACG